AAGUGCUGGUCGCCUUAUGCAUGCAGUCGAACGGGGUUAUGGUUUUCGGAUUGUAACCUAGUGGCAGACGGCUGAGUAACACGUAAGUAACCCGCCUUGGAGUGGGAAAUAACCUGCCGAAAGGCAAGCUAAUGUCCCAUGUGGUAGUGAAGCGUAAGCUUCAUUACUAAAGCUGCAAAGCGCUCCAAGAGGGGCUUGCGUCUGAUUAGCUAGUUGGUAGGGUAACGGCCUACCAAGGCGAUGAUCAGUAGCUGGUCUGAGAGGAUGGUCAGCCAGAUGGGGACUGAGACACGGCCCCAACUCCUACGGGAGGCAGCAGCAAGGAAUUUUGGGCAAUGGACGAAAGUCUGACCCAGCGACACCGCGUGAGGGAAUAAGGCCUUCGGGUUGUAAACCUCUUUUCUUGGGGAAGAAUCUCGACGGUACCCAAGGAAUAAGCCUCGGCCAACUACGUGCCAGCAGCCGCGGUAAUACGUAGGAGGCGAACGUUAUUCGGAUUUACUGGGCGUAAAGGGAGCGUAGGCGGUUCCUUAAGUCAGAUGUGAAAUCUUCUGACUCAAUCAGAAGGCGCCAUUUGAUACUGAGGGACUUGAGAGCAGCAGAGGGAAAUGGAAUCUCCAGUGUAGCGGUGAAAUGCGUAGAUAUUGGAGAGAACACCAGUGGCAAAGGCGAUUUCCCAGGCUGUUUCUGACGCUGAGGCUCGAAAGCGUGGGGAGCGAAGCGGAUUAGAUACCCGCGUAGUCCACGCCCUAAACGGUGGACACUAGAUAUGGGAGGUAUCGACCCUUUCUGUGUCGAAGCUAACGCUUUAAGUGUCCCGCCUGGGGAGUACGGCCGCAAGGCUG
Molecule: ribosomal RNA, 845 nt
Filed under: uncultured bacterium
Lineage: Bacteria
Description: bacterial SSU rRNA
Rfam family: Bacterial small subunit ribosomal RNA
Source: RNAcentral